AUUGAACGCUGGCGGCAUGCUUUACACAUGCAAGUCGAACGGUAACAGGCCUUCGGGUGCUGACGAGUGGCGAACGGGUGAGUAAUGCAUCGGAACGUACCCAGAGGUGGGGGAUAACGCAGCGAAAGCUGUGCUAAUACCGCAUGUGAUCUGAGGAUGAAAGCGGGGGACCGAGCAGCAAUGUUUGGCCUCGCGCCUUUGGAGCGGCCGAUGUCGGAUUAGCUAGUUGGUGGGGUAAAGGCCUACCAAGGCGACGAUCCGUAGCUGGUCUGAGAGGACGACCAGCCACACUGGGACUGAGACACGGCCCAGACUCCUACGGGAGGCAGCAGUGGGGAAUUUUGGACAAUGGGCGCAAGCCUGAUCCAGCAAUGCCGCGUGCGGGAAGAAGGCCUUCGGGUUGUAAACCGCUUUUGGCAGGAACGAAACGGCGUCCGCUAAUACCGGGCGCUAAUGACGGUACCUGCAGAAUAAGCACCGGCUAACUACGUG
RNAcentral lists this ribosomal RNA (492 nucleotides) under uncultured bacterium. RNAcentral describes it as "partial 16S ribosomal RNA". It matches the Rfam family "Bacterial small subunit ribosomal RNA", at positions 29 to 507 of the family's 1533-position model. The record is from RNAcentral.